RNAcentral lists this ribosomal RNA (515 nucleotides) under uncultured bacterium. RNAcentral describes it as "partial 16S ribosomal RNA". It matches the Rfam family "Bacterial small subunit ribosomal RNA", at positions 28 to 523 of the family's 1533-position model. The record is from RNAcentral.
GAUGAACGCUGGCGGCGUGCCUAAUACAUGCAAGUCGAGCGAAUGGAUUAAGAGCUUGCUCUUAUGAAGUUAGCGGCGGACGGGUGAGUAACACGUGGGUAACCUGCCCAUAAGACUGGGAUAACUCCGGGAAACCGAGGCUAAUACCGGAUAGCAUUUUGAACCGCAUGGUUCGAAAUUGAAAGGCGGCUUCGGCUGUCACUUAUGGAUGGACCCGCGUCGCAUUAGCUAGUUGGUGAGGUAACGGCUCACCAAGGCAACGAGGCGUAGCCGACCUGAGAGGGUGAUCGGCCACACUGGGACUGAGACACGGCCCAGACUCCUACGGGAGGCAGCAGUAGGGAAUCUUCCGCAAUGGACGAAAGUCUGACGGAGCAACGCCGCGUGAGUGAUGAAGGCUUUCGGGUCGUAAAACUCUGUUGUUAGGGAAGAACAAGUGCUAGUUGAAUAAGCUGGCACCUUGACGGUACCUAACCAGAAAGCCACGGCUAACUACGUGCCAGCAGCCGCCGUAA